Molecule: ribosomal RNA, 465 nt
Filed under: uncultured bacterium
Lineage: Bacteria
Description: partial 16S ribosomal RNA
Rfam family: Bacterial small subunit ribosomal RNA
Source: RNAcentral
CCUACGGGAGGCAGCAGUGAGGAAUAUUGCGCAAUGGGCGAAAGCCUGACGCAGCGACGCCGCGUGAGGGAUGAAGGUCUUCGGAUCGUUAACCUCCGUCUGCAGGGAAGAACGGUCACUGUGCUAAUCAGCAGUGAAUUGACGGUACCUGCAAAGGAAGCACCGGCUAACUCCGUGCCAGCAGCCGCGGUAAUACGGAGGGUGCGAGCGUUAAUCGGAAUGACUGGGAGUAUAGCGCUCGUAGGCGGUAUGUCAAGUCAAGGGUGAAAUCCCCGCGCUCAACGUGGGAACUGCCUUUGAAACUGGCAAACUGGAGUGUGUGAGAGGAUAGUGGAAUUCCAGGUGUAGGAGUGAAAUCCGUAGAUAUCAGGAGGAACAUCAGUGGCGAAGGCGACUAUCUGGCACAUAACUGACGCUGAGGAGCGAAAGCGUGGGUAGCGAACAGGAUUAGAUACCCCAGUAGUC